AUUAAAUUGUUUGUUUAAAACUUAUACUGUGUGUGUAUGUAUGUGUGUAUUUAUAUAUUAGUCUUUUGUCUGGUGAAAAAAAUUUCCCUGGAACCUAACCCCCCCCCCCCAUUUACAUUUAAUUCUUAUGGGUAAAUUGGAUUUACUUAAUGGCAUUUAGCUUAAAGUCGCAUUUUUCAGGAACGUAACUACAACGUUAAGCGAGGAGUUACUGUACAUGAUUUUUGGUGUCUAGCAGUUAUGAAUUUAAGUUCCCAAGCUUGUCUUUUGAAAGUGUUGUGCAGGUUUCCUUUGAGGAUGAGGACAGAGAAGUCAGUUACGGAGUGAUUAUUUUGUGAAAAGUGUUCACCCACCCCAAACACAUCACCAAACUCAACCAUUUAAUCCUCAUCCAUAACAAUUUUACAUUCAACAACAAAUAAUUUACCCAAACCAUGGGAACAGCCAUGAGUACUGGGAUGGCUCCCCAAUACAUCAACCUUUUCAGGACUACCUUAAGGAAGAAUUUCUGGACAAAUGCACUACAAAAUCAAUGAUAUACCUGAGAUAUAUUGAUAAUAUAUUCAUUUGCUGGACAGAUGACCAGAAGAACUCUGUGUAAGCUCAAAAGCUUGUCUCUUUCACCAACAGAAGUUGGUCCAAUAUAUUAUUUCAUACACCUUGUUUCGCUAAUAUCCUGGGACCAACAAGGCUACAACAACACUCCUAAUAAUAUAUGUUCCUGUAUAGUGUAUAAUAAUGACAUGACAGAAUGUAACCGGGUAUAGCAGGGCCCCCUUUGCUCCUGCCUCUGCUCUGCUCCAAAAACCAUUCAGAGACCUUGUGGCUUAGCAAUCACCGGUGCAGUUUAUUUACAGCAUGCAAUCGCACCACACACAGCUUGGGGGUUUCAGCCUUAAGGACUCAAUUUCUACAACCAAGCCACUCCUACUCUCCUUCCACUCUCUGACUUCCCCCUUUCCGUCUGUCCCCUUGGCUUCUUUCCUCUGAGGUGUUUAUGCAGCCCCAGGCUAGUUAGGCUGGCAGCUGUUUCCCCUUUGCCAAUUAGGCACAGGUUUCUCUAGCCAGCUCCAAUCUACCUCCUGUAAUUGGAGCUGGCGUGACAGAGGACUAGCUCAGCAGUUCAUACCCAGCACCCUGUCACAUAGAAAUAGGAUAAAAUCAGUGCGAGUAAGAAGCAGUCUUUCUUCUGAAUUACACCAAAAAAACAAAAAAUUUAAACCUGGUUCUCUCAGCCAGGUUUUAACAAUCUUGUCUUUUGUUCACCCAAGCAUGAUUGUCCUUACGCACUGUUUUUUUCAUAAGCAAAAGGUAGUGAAAAUUAGAACAAGAUUUUGAACAAAAAUCACGUUUCAUAUGGCAUAUGUUUAUACAGAAAUUCAUGCCAGUAAUUGGUAAAUUAUAAUGAAUUAGGAGUUUGUUGACUUUCAUACCUCUGGAAGUAUCAAUAUAAUUACUGGUAAAUAUAAAAAUAUUUUCUAAUUGUCUGAAUCAUAUAUGUAAUAAUUUUGUAAGUGAUUGGACCUGAUUGGGGUGGUGUUCUGGUUCCCCCAACCCCGAGUUUUAUUUUGGAAUAAAUGUUUGUAAUGUGAGACACUUAAAA
Molecule: non-coding RNA, 1603 nt
Organism: Chrysemys picta bellii (western painted turtle)
Lineage: Eukaryota; Metazoa; Chordata; Testudines; Emydidae
Source: RefSeq, a predicted model, not a curated record